AUAAAAAACAAUGCCAUGGAGUAAACACUGAGGAUAAAACAGGAGAAGCAGCAAUCUGGAGAUCAGAUUAGGAGACGUGCUGUGUAUCAGCCAGCAAUCCUUUAAAGAGCUUAGGAGAGGGUCCGGCCCGUCUCCAGCAGCGAGCCGGGUCAGGAAGAACCCGCUUCACGUCUCCCACUAUCUGCUGCGAGGAUUAGUUUCUCCCUCUGCUGUGACAUCACUUCCUCCCUCCCACUGAAGCACCUGAGCAUCUAAUGGGGAUCUGCUGCUACCGACAUGUUUUCUGCAGACGUCUCCCUCCCCUCCAUCUGUCUGCUGUCUCCGACUGCUCAGUGACGGCUCCAUACCAGAGAGAUCAAGAGGAGAGGAGUUUAAGCCCAAGAGACGGAUGAAGAAAGAGGAUAAGAGAGAUGAUGGAUGAUGGGUGGAUGUUGGGUCCAGCACAGUCAAGACUCCUCAUUCCAUGAAGGAAAAUCAGUUUUCCCUCGUUUCCCCUGAGGCCGUUCAUCCACGAAGCAGCGCAACGCCGGGCCAGCAACUCUGUGACAUUUAGCAACCAGGAUGUAAGAGGAACGGCAGACAAAGAGCCUGUCUGUGAUUUGAUGAACAUUUCCCGGGUUUUACGCCGUGAAGCGCCAGGAUGGGCCGAAUGUAGGACCAACACGAUAAAAAACU
Non-coding RNA from Poecilia reticulata (guppy), 675 nucleotides. The record is from RefSeq and is a predicted model, not a curated record. NCBI's taxonomy places the organism in Eukaryota, Metazoa, Chordata, Actinopteri, Cyprinodontiformes, Poeciliidae.